RNAcentral lists this microRNA precursor (95 nucleotides) under Loxodonta africana (African savanna elephant). RNAcentral's name for it is "miRNA (ENSLAFG00000031260.1)". Lineage: Eukaryota; Metazoa; Chordata; Mammalia; Proboscidea; Elephantidae. The record is from RNAcentral.
UAGGGUGAUCAAAAGUCCUGGCUUGCCUGGGACUGAGGGGUUUCCCACUUUCAGUGCUAAAACUAGGAAAGUUCUAAGCAAACCAGGAUCAGUUG